GGACAGGAAAAUGAGCUUCGCCUCCGCAUUCAUUAUAGAUUGCAGCGGUGCAAUCUGGAACCACGUCAAACCAUUGAGAAGUGUAUUGCAGUAGUCAAGGCGAGAGAGAACAACAGCAUGGACCAGCACCUUAACCGCAUCUGGUGUUAAAUAGGGGCGGAUGCGUGCUAUGUUUUGGAGAUGGAAGCAACAGGAUUUGGCGAUUGAUUGGACAUGAGGGAGUAAAAAAGAACACCCAGGCAGCGAGCCUGUGAGGUAGAGGUGAUGGUAGCACCGUUGACUUGGAGGGAGGCAGGCACGGGAGUACUAACACUUGAGGGAGGAAGGACCAGAAGUUCUGUUUUGGACAGUUGAGUUUAAGGAAGUGAGCAGCCAUCCAGUUGGAAAUCGCAGAGAGGCAGUUAGAGAAACGAGUCACGAUGGGUGGAGAGAGAUCAGGAGAGGACAGGUAGAUUUGCGUGUCAUCUGCAUAGAAAUCAUAACGGAAGCCAAAGGAGCAGAUGAGUUUACCAAUGGAGGCAGUAUAGAUAGAUAACAGUAGGGGACCAAGGGCAGAACCUUGGAGGAUGCCAACAGAGAGUGGUUGGGGAGAAGUCAGAGAAAGAAACACUGAAAGAGCGGUUGGAGGAGCACCAGGAGACCAAAAUUACGGAGAAUGCGAAGAAGUUGUUGAUGAUCAACAGUGUCAAAGGCAGCAAAAAGAUCAAGGAGAAUUAGGAUAGAGUAAUGGCCGCGAGAUUUACCAGCAAUUAAAUUGUUGGAUAUUUUGGUCAGUCGUUUCGACAGAAUGACCAGCGCGAAAUCCAGACUGAAGGCAGUCAAGGAGAGAGUUGGAUUCGAGAGUCAGUCAUUCUGGUAUACACAACUCUCUCGAGGAUCUUGGUGUCAGGGUGGCGGUCCGAAGACCGGGACCCCUGUGCCUGAUGUAGAAGAUUAGCGGAGUCUUCAGCAUGGAAGUGGAUAAGUAUGGCCUGGUGCAGGGUAACCACACGCCCCCUGGUGUUGAGCACAAGCGUUUGAGCAGCCACCAACUAGAACUCUGAUGGAACUUUAGU
Pelobates cultripes (western spadefoot toad) is the source of this 1055-nucleotide non-coding RNA. Lineage: Eukaryota; Metazoa; Chordata; Amphibia; Anura; Pelobatidae. The record is from the annotation of a GenBank genome assembly.